AACUAUGUGCCAGCAGCUGCGGUAAUACAUAGGUCGCGAGCGUUAUUCGGAUUUAUUGGGCGUAAAGCAAGCGCAGGCGGAUGUAUAAGUUCUGUGUGAAAAGCAGCUGCUCAACAGCUGUUGGCGCCGAAUACUAUACAUCUAGAAUACGGUAGGAAGUUUUGGAAUUGAAUAUGGAGCGGUGGAAUGUGUAGAUAUAUUCAAGAACACCAGAGGCGAAGGCGAAAACUUAGGCCGAUAUUGACGCUUAGGCUUGAAAGUGUGGGGAGCAAAUGGGAUUAGAUACCCCAGUAGUCCACACCGUAAACGAUGGGUAUUAAAUUUUGGGGUUAGUGCCUCAGGGUUGUAGCUUACGUGUUAAAUACCCCGCCUGGGUAGUACAUAUGCAAAUAUGAAACUCAAAGGAAUUGACGGGGACCUGAACAAGUGGUGGAACAUGUUGCUUAAUUCGAUAAUACACGAAAAACCUUACCAAGAUUUGACAUCCCUCGCGAAGCUUUAGAGAUAAAGUCAGAGGUUAUCGAGGUGACAGGUGGUGCAUGGUUGUCGUCAGCUCGUGUCAUGAGAUGUUGGGUUAAGUCCCGCAACGAGCGCAACCCUACUCUCUAGUUGUCUGUUUAGAGAGACUGAACAGUAAUGUAUAGGAAGGUCGGGAUCACGUCAAAUCAUCAUGCCCCUUAUGUCUUGGGCUGCAAACGUGUUACAAUGGCGAGCACAGCGUGUCGCAAACCAGCGAUGGUAAGCUAAUCACUAAAAACUCGUCUCAGUCCGGAUAAAAGGCUGCAAUUCGCCUUUUUGAAGUUGGAAUCACUAGUAAUCCCGUGUCAGCUAUAUCGGGGUGAAUACGUUCCCAGGUCUUGUACAC
RNAcentral lists this ribosomal RNA (865 nucleotides) under uncultured Mycoplasma sp. Its description in RNAcentral is "bacterial SSU rRNA". It matches the Rfam family "Bacterial small subunit ribosomal RNA", at positions 499 to 1388 of the family's 1533-position model. The record is from RNAcentral. Lineage: Bacteria; Bacillati; Mycoplasmatota; Mollicutes; Mycoplasmatales; Mycoplasmataceae.